RNAcentral lists this ribosomal RNA (329 nucleotides) under uncultured Phascolarctobacterium sp. Its description in RNAcentral is "bacterial SSU rRNA". It matches the Rfam family "Bacterial small subunit ribosomal RNA", at positions 505 to 834 of the family's 1533-position model. The record is from RNAcentral. Lineage: Bacteria; Bacillati; Bacillota; Negativicutes; Acidaminococcales; Acidaminococcaceae.
GUGCCAGCCGCCGCGGUAAUACGUAGGUGGCGAGCGUUGUCCGGAAUUAUUGGGCGUAAAGAGCAUGUAGGCGGGACUUUAAGUCUGUUGUUAAAAUGCGGGGCUCAACCCCGUAGUGCGAUGGAAACUGGAGUUCUUGAGUGCAGGAGAGGAAAGGGGAAUUCCCAGUGUAGCGGUGAAAUGCGUAGAUAUUGGGAGGAACACCAGUGGCGAAGGCGCCUUUCUGGACUGUGUCUGACGCUGAGAUGCGAAAGCCGAGGGAGCGAACGGGAUUAGAUACCCCGGUAGUCCUGGCCGUAAACGAUGGGUACUAGGUGUAGGGGUAUCGA